UGCAUUGAUGGGCUGGUGAUGUCUAUGAAUU
RNAcentral lists this non-coding RNA (31 nucleotides) under Rattus norvegicus (Norway rat). The record is from RNAcentral. Lineage: Eukaryota; Metazoa; Chordata; Mammalia; Rodentia; Muridae.